Molecule: ribosomal RNA, 494 nt
Filed under: uncultured bacterium
Lineage: Bacteria
Description: partial 16S ribosomal RNA
Rfam family: Bacterial small subunit ribosomal RNA
Source: RNAcentral
ACUCAAAUGAAUUGACGGGGACCCGCACAAGCGGUGGAUGAUGUGGAUUAAUUCGAUGCAACGCGAAAAACCUUACCUACGCUUGACAUGCCAGGAAGCCCGCAGAGAUGUGGGUGUGCCCGAAAGGGAACCUGGACACAGGUGCUGCAUGGCUGUCGUCAGCUCGUGUCGUGAGAUGUUGGGUUAAGUCCCGCAACGAGCGCAACCCUUAUCCCUAGUUGCUACGAAAGGGCACUCUAGGGAGACUGCCGGUGACAAACCGGAGGAAGGUGGGGAUGACGUCAAGUCCUCAUGGCCCUUAUGCGUAGGGCUUCACACGUCAUACAAUGGUCGGUACAGAGGGCUGCCAACCCGCGAGGGGGAGCUAAUCCCAGAAAGCCGAUCGUAGUCCGGAUUGCACUCUGCAACUCGAGUGCAUGAAGUCGGAAUCGCUAGUAAUCGCGGAUCAGCAUGUCGCGGUGAAUACGUUCCCGGGUCUUGUACACACCGCCCGU